RNAcentral lists this ribosomal RNA (1450 nucleotides) under uncultured Bordetella sp. RNAcentral's name for it is "partial 16S-23S ribosomal RNA intergenic spacer". It matches the Rfam family "Bacterial small subunit ribosomal RNA". Lineage: Bacteria; Pseudomonadati; Pseudomonadota; Betaproteobacteria; Burkholderiales; Alcaligenaceae. The record is from RNAcentral.
UUGAACGCUGGCGGGAUGCUUUACACAUGCAAGUCGAACGGCAGCACGGACUUCGGUCUGGUGGCGAGUGGCGAACGGGUGAGUAAUGUAUCGGAACGUGCCUAGUAGCGGGGGAUAACUACGCGAAAGCGUAGCUAAUACCGCAUACGCCCUUCGGGGAAAGCGGGGGACUCUGGGCCUCGCACUAUUAGAGCGGCCGAUAUCGGAUUAGCUAGUUGGUGGGGUAACGUCAUCAAGGCGACGAUCCGGGUAGCUGGUUUGAGAGGACGACCAGCCACACUGGGAUCGAGACACGGCCUGACUCACGCAGGCAGUGGGGAAUUUUGGACAAUGGGGGAAACCCCUGAUCCAGCCAUCUCGUGUGCGAUGAAGGACUUCGGUUGUAAAGCACCUCUUUGGCAGGAGGAAGAAACGGCACGGAUAAUGGCUCCCGUGCAACUGACGGUACCGCAGAAUAAGCAGGCACCGGCCAACUACGUGCCAGCAGCCGCGGUAAUACGUAGAAAAGGUUAAUCGAACACGGGCGUAAAGCGUGCGCAGGCGGUUCGGAAAGAAAGAUGUGAAAUCCCAGAGCUAAUCCUUGGAACUGCAUUUUUAACUACCGAGCCAGAGUGUGUCAGAGGGAGAGGUGGAAUUCCGCGUAGGCAAAUGCGUAGAUAUGCGGAGGAACACCGAUGGCGAAGGCAGCCUCCUGGGAUAACACUGACAUCAUGCACGAAAGCGUGGGGAGCAAACAGGAUUAGAUACCCUGGUAGUCCACGCCUCAAACGAUGUCAAAUUAGCUGUUGGGGCCUUCGGGCCGGUAGGCGCAGCUAUCGCAGAAGCUGACUGCCUGGGAAAGUAUUGGUCGCAAGAUUAAAACUCAAAGGAAUUAGACGGGGACCCGCACAAGCGGUGGAUGAGUGGGAUUAAUCGAUGCAACGCGAAAAAACCUCAUCACCCUUGACAUGUCUGGAAUCCCGGCGAGAUUUGGGAGUGCUCAAAAGAGAACCGGAACACAGGUGCUGCAUAUUACGUCAGCUCGUGUCGUGGUGAUGUUGCUGUCCCGCAACGAGCACAACCCUUGUCAUUAGUUGCUACGAAAGGGCACUCUAGAAUGAAUGCCGGUGACAAACCGAGGAAGGUGGGAUGACGUCAAGUCCUCAUGGCCUUUAUAUAGUAGGGCUUCACACGUCAAGCAAUGGUCGGGACAGAGGGUCGCCAACCCGUGAGGGGAGCCAAUCCCAGAAACCUGAUCGUAGUCCGGAUCGCAGUCUGCAACUCGGACUGCGUGAAGUCGGAAUCGCUAGUAACUGCGGAUCAGCAUGUCGCGGUGAAUGUUCCCCGGGUCUUGUACACACUGCCCGUCACACCAUGGGAGUGGGUUUUACCAGAAGUAGAAGCGCCUAACCGUAAGGAGGGCGAUUACCACGGUAGGAUUCAGACUGGGGGUGAAGUCGUAACAAGGUAG